ACGGUGAACCUUGGAGCUUGCUUCGAGGGGAUCAGUGGCGAACGGGUGAGUAACACGUGAGUAACCUGCCCCGGACUCUGGAAUAAGCGCUGGAAACGGCGUCUAAUACCGGAUACGAGACGCAACCGCAUGGUUAGUGUCUGGAAAGUUUUUCGGUCUGGGAUGGACUCGCGGCCUAUCAGCUUGUUGGUGAGGUAAUGGCUCACCAAGGCGACGACGGGUAGCCGGCCUGAGAGGGCGACCGGCCACACUGGGACUGAGACACGGCCCAGACUCCUACGGGAGGCAGCAGUGGGGAAUAUUGCACAAUGGGCGAAAGCCUGAUGCAGCGACGCCGCGUGAGGGAUGACGGCCUUCGGGUUGUAAACCUCUUUCAGCAGGGAAGAAGCGAAAGUGACGGUACCUGCAGAAGAAGCACCGGCUAACUACGUGCCAGCAGCCGCGGUAAUACGUAGGGUGCGAGCGUUGUCCGGAAUUAUUGGGCGUAAAGAGCUUGUAGGCGGUUUGUCGCGUCUGCUGUGAAAAUCCGGGGCUCAACCCCGGACUUGCAGUGGGUACGGGCAGACUAGAGUGUGGUAGGGGAGACUGGAAUUCCUGGUGUAGCGGUGAAAUGCGCAGAUAUCAGGAGGAACACCGAUGGCGAAGGCAGGUCUCUGGGCCACUACUGACGCUGAGAAGCGAAAGCAUGGGGAGCGAACAGGAUUAGAUACCCUGGUAGUCCAUGCCGUAAACGUUGGGCGCUAGGUGUGGGACUCAUUCCACGAGUUCCGUG
This 772-nucleotide ribosomal RNA is filed under the name Janibacter melonis. RNAcentral's name for it is "bacterial SSU rRNA". It matches the Rfam family "Bacterial small subunit ribosomal RNA", at positions 66 to 845 of the family's 1533-position model. The record is from RNAcentral. Lineage: Bacteria; Bacillati; Actinomycetota; Actinomycetes; Micrococcales; Intrasporangiaceae.